AUACCUUUCUCGGCCUUUUGGCUAAGAUCAAGUGUAGUAUCUGUUCUUAUCAGUUUAAUAUCUGAUAUGUGAACCAUUGGUUCACACGAUAUUAACUUUAUUUUUCGAGGGAGAUAUACUCAUUAAGAUAGCUUGCUGUCUGAGUUUUCUUGAGUCGUCUAUGUGUUGCACUAUUGCAUGGACCUGGCUCAUCCCCA
Capsella rubella is the source of this 197-nucleotide small nuclear RNA. It matches the Rfam family "U2 spliceosomal RNA". From Rfam's summary of the family: U2 is a small nuclear RNA (snRNA) component of the spliceosome (involved in pre-mRNA splicing). Complementary binding between U2 snRNA (in an area lying towards the 5' end but 3' to hairpin I) and the branchpoint sequence (BPS) of the intron results the bulging out of an unpaired adenosine, on the BPS, which initiates a nucleophilic attack at the intronic 5' splice site, thus starting the first of two transesterification reactions that mediate splicing. NCBI's taxonomy places the organism in Eukaryota, Viridiplantae, Streptophyta, Magnoliopsida, Brassicales, Brassicaceae. The record is from Rfam.